GAUUUUGUUGUCUAUGUAUUACCUGAACUCCAAGGGAACCAACUUACAUGGCGUAAUGGAUGGAGGUGUUAUUGGGGCUUAUUUUUUCAUGAUUGGAAACAAGAUGUUGCUGGUGUUGGAGCUCACAGAGAAUGGUAUUAUGAUAGUCUACUUACUUCUGAAGGUGCAUUAGAAGAUAAGUGGAUGUCCAGAUUCUUUGGCCUCAGAAAAGUGGUGAUAAAAAUCUUGAAGUAUUGUUAGCAUUUUCCUCUAAAAAUGGAAAGAGCAGAUACAAAGAAGAAGAGAACACAUUUGGGUACACCUACCAGGACAGUUUGUUCUACGUUUAUCUUGCUUUGGGGUUGCAGACCCUAACAUAUCAAGAUAGCUCUUGAUGGUAUAACAUGACAUUGGCAGGAAUUAUCGAUGACUACUUUGAUGGGUAGUUUUCUGAAGAAAUGAUUGUCCCAGCGUGGAGCUAGCCGUCGCCGCUAUGGUACAUGUACCCGUUGCCUCCGCUUGACGUAGUUCGCUAUGGAGAUAUACAUGGGAAAGUCGCGACGGAGAUGCCCCACUUCAACCCGCGGAUCCGGGGUGAUUGUGGCGGUCAGCUGGUGACUGAGCUCAAAAUCCGGUUCAGCGUCAAUGGUUGUCUGCGCUCCAGUACGAGGAGUGGUGGCGCUUCAAGGAGACAGCUGCGUGCCUUCGUCAGUUGUUUUGUGUACUACUUUUCACUUUCAGAAUCAAUUCGUGAUUCCAUAGUGAGUCAUUACGAACGAAAUUAUGGGGGGUUUUGCUCUAGGCAUCAGAUCAGGAAGCAACAAGCCGUCUCUUUGGUGGUAUCUUUGGUGCUCCAGUAGUGGAUAUUGCUGGAAUAGCUAAAGGACUUAGU
Long non-coding RNA from Triticum dicoccoides, 871 nucleotides. RefSeq lists it as uncharacterized. The record is from RefSeq and is a predicted model, not a curated record. The transcript is spliced from 4 exons. NCBI's taxonomy places the organism in Eukaryota, Viridiplantae, Streptophyta, Magnoliopsida, Poales, Poaceae.